Molecule: long non-coding RNA, 3969 nt
Organism: Triplophysa dalaica
Lineage: Eukaryota; Metazoa; Chordata; Actinopteri; Cypriniformes; Nemacheilidae
Exons: 3
Source: RefSeq, a predicted model, not a curated record
UUCAUUAAAAGGAAGGAAGGAGGCGGGAACCGAAAGACAUUUUAAACAUUUAAUAAAGUAAUAUAACAGCCAGCGGCCCCUCACGGACGACCGCCGGCGAACAAAACACAAACACAAGUUCGGGCCCGGUCCUCUCUCUUCGACCCCGCCUACUCUACUACAGUUACAUUUGGCAUUUCAUUUCCUGGAUAAUCCCGUUGCCACAGCAACAUAAUGGUUAGAUCAUUUUCUUGAUUGGUGUGCUUUUAGACUAUGGUAUCUGAAAUGUUAGUUUCACAGAAACCCAUAUUAAAAUAGAUUUGAAUAGCCCUUAAAUGGUCACUUUAACUUAAGUUAAAGACGGAAGACUUCAGUAUUUAGAAAAAAAUCCUGGAAAAACUAAACUUUACUUAAUAAUAAUAUAAGAAGUCACCGGUUAGACAGAAAUAUUCUUUUGCACAUCAACAAUAAUACGUUUGAUUGCAAUAUUGUUUUACGGUGCUGGUCUCAUAAUUUAAUACGCUGUAGGGUUUUUUUGUUCUUUGAAAUUUGAAGAAAUUAUCAGAACAUACUGUGAUGGAACUAUCUUUAUGUUUAUUUUAUAUAGACAUCAUUAUGAAAAUCACUAUUUUAGGCACUUUGCUGUUCAUCUUAAAGGGGUCAUAUGACACGGCUAAAACAAAUAUAAUGGUUUGUUUUAUAUGUAAUGCAUUGUGUAUACACAAUUUAAGGUUAAAAAAGGCACACAAAAGACACUGAAAAACACGUAUUUGCGCCACAUGACCCCUUUAAUGACCCCUUUACGGGUUAAAAAUGUAAAAUUCACCAUGCUCUACUUAGUUCUAUAUCAGUUUCUAGUAAAGAUUAUGAAUUAUUACGAUUUUCUUUUCAACUGUUAUAUUAACAAUUACAUAGUUGCAGAUAUGAAACAAUUCUACAACAUACAACGUUAAGAAUGACGUGUUUCAUGAAACAUGAUUCUUUCUUGUCAGUGUGUGCAGGUUUAGCUGUACAUGUAAUAAUCUUUACUAUAAAUCUAAUGUUGUCAGGUAUGGGUUAGAUUUCAGCUUUAGGAAUGGGGUGUUAAAGCAGCCAGAGACUACAAUCUCAAACAACUGAGUGGUGUGAUUUAAAUGAUAAAACAUCUUUGGGCUGAAAUGAAAGCAAAGGAAAUGUUCAUUCCUCAGAUGUGAGUUUCCGAGCAGAAGUCAGGCAGGUUCAGACAGAUCAACACAUCAUGUGAAUGUCACAGUAUCCUAAAGCCUGCAGUGAUCAUGUGAUGCCCUUUGACUUUAGAGAGAACGUUGAAGUGGUUUUUAAGUCUUGACCUAUAGAUGGUAAACAAAUCUCACUCAUGUCUUGUGUUGCUGUGGUGUAAAUAUACACACUGCAUGAUGUCAGGAGGCCAGGAUGAGGGACAUGCACAACUAAGUGUGUGUACAUACAUGUGUGUUUAGACUCGGGUCUUGGGCUAUUUGUCUGUAGUCUUCGAAGGAACUGGAACAACAUAGUGCUUGCAACCUAGAGUUAUGGGUUCAAUUCUCAAAGACUGCAUGAACUGAAGGAUCUGUAAUGCACAAGGUCCUGUGGUCAGUGUGAUCUCUUUUCUGCCCUCUGCUGGUGAACAUACUUUAUUACUGUAAACAUGUCCCAAAAUUUUUUGAAGCAUCCCAGCGAAACAGUUAAAAUACAAAACGUAUCUUUCAUCAUUUAUUCACCCUCAUGUCAUUCCAAAUCUGUAUGAGUUUUUUUCUUCUUCAGGACACAAACGAAGAUAUUUUGGAGAAUGUUGAUAAAGAAACAACACUGAACUCUGUUGACUUUCAUUGAUUGAACACAAAACCACAUUUCUCAAAUUAUCUUCUUUUGUGUUUCACAGAAGAAAGAGAUUGUAUAACCACAUUAGGGUGGAUAAAUGGAAGAGUUUAGAUGUGUGGCUACAAAGUCCCUUUAAUAAUCAUUUAAUUAGAUAUUUAUUUUGAGUUAUUUGGACUAUGGAUCUUUCCCCGGCCCCAUUGCAUCAAUUUUGCGGAAAUGUUAGUGGAAAUGUUGUAGGUUUGUAUUAUAUUAUAAUUAUUGUUGACGAAGAAAAAAAUGCCACUCAAUGAUUAGAAGCGCCGUUUUUCAGACUGAAAUACUGCAUCUCUCCAUUAGGUGGCAGCAUUACAUAGUGUCGUAAUCACAAGUGAUUAAAGCAACACAAAAAUAACACAUAAAACACACAAAUUCAGUACUUGACUACACAAAUCAUGUACAUUACUAAUACUAAUAUUCUAAUACUGCUUUAUUGUAAGACUAAAUUUUUAAGAAUAUACUACAGUUUAUACUGUGAAAGAUCUGACAUCAUAUGUUGUAUCAUUCUAAGUAAAGUAUCUUUGAAAAACCACCUCAAGCCUUAUCAGUACUAAACAUUGGCUGUAUUCUGUGUUAUUCUUUUUAAACAGACAUCCCUUCACAUUCACCAUUGACUUCUGAGAAUAAAAACAAUCUUCUCUCCCCCCCACAGGUCAUGCAGACGUCACAGCUUGUGGUUCUAAGCUCUCUGGGCCACAGUUAACUGGAUGCCAGUAACAGGAAGGGGACAUUCUGAGAGGAAGUCAAAGAGUCAGAGCUGCAGCGGGUUCCAAAAAUCACAUCCCCCUAUGUGUCAUCACUGGCAUUCCCUGUGUUUCCAUGCCUGCAGCACAGCAUGCGUCUCUCUCUCUCUCUCUCUCUCUCUCUCCUGCAUGAUGUCUGCUUCCUAUCUGGAUGGGGGAUGAAGGGAAGGCAGUGUGGUUUGGGGAGGGGGUGACCUAAAUUCACACUCACUAACUGGUGAGCAUCAUUACCAUCACAGGGAGAGAUGUGACUUCCUGUUUCCUUUUAAUUGCUCAUUUUUCUCUCCCAUCUGCUCAUUCCCAACUCUCAUUUUUGUAAUGUUUGUCAUUACCUCCCUGAUCUCGUUUGAUCCUCUUUCAUCUUAGAGCUCUUCUGUCAUUGUUUUACCUGUUUCACAGUCUCUCGCACCUCCAGUAUGAAUGCCACAUAUUUUUUUAUGAUAUUAUCCACAAAAAAAAGAAGAGAGAAAUUACAGCCAUCAUCAAUGGAGGCAGACAAGCCCAUAGGACAUCAAUUUUAUAAUGACAGCCAACAACAGCCAUGAGAUCAUCAUCAGGCCAUUAUGACAUCAUCAAUGGAAGCAGACAAGUGAUCAUCAUUUUGUAAAAAUAACAGAUCCAGAGCUUCAGGCAUGGCCCGCGGCUGCAGGCCGGAGAUACGGACCCUCCUGGGAACGACAGCAACACCCCCUCCUCCCACCCGCAUCUUCUGACGGAGGCCAUCAAUGAAAGCUAAUCCUGGAUAAACCUCGGGAACCGAAACCUCGCCCGUCACCAUUAAAGAACCAGGGGGCGUAAACAUCUUCAUCGGUCUGACCUGCUGAUUCAGGUUUACUUGAGUCACCGCAAUCAUUCUGACCUGUGCAAGUUAUACUUGAUAAAACAGGGUUUGGUGGACUUGAGAUUUAACAUCACAACAGAAAGAUUAUCAGGGUUCAACAGAAAUGCCUUAUUCAUUUAUCACAAUAUUACAGGAACCAUGGAAACAGGAUAAAAACUGUAUAGCCGAUGUUUGUAAUGAAUUCUACUCUUUUAAUGAAAAUGUAGAGCUAAACUUUAAAAUGUGUACAUAUACACCACCCGUUGUUCUUAAUCAAGAUUUUAAGGUUUUUUUCUUUAAAGGGAUACUUCACAUUGAUCUGUUUGGUUACUGACAUUCUUCCAAAUAUCUUCCUUUGUGUUCAGCAGAACAAAUACAUGUGUACAGGUCUUGAACAUCUCAAGGGCGAGUAAAUGAUGACAGAAAUUACUUUUUUUGGUGAACUAUAUUUUUAAGUUGUAAAAGUUACCACAAAGUAACAACAAUCUCACCACAACAACCAUAUAGUUUGACAAUAUAUUUGUAGUAAAACCACCAUGGUAAUAAAAACAGUAAUCUGUCAAACCCUAGGGA